UUAUAAGAGACAGCAGCAGCCGCGGUAAAACGAAGGGUGCAAGCGUUACUCGGAAUUACUGGGCGUAAAGCGUGCGUAGGUGGUUGUUUAAGUCUGCUGUGAAAGCCCUGGGCUCAACCUGGGAAUUGCAGUGGAUACUGGGCGACUAGAGUAAGGUAGAGGAUAGUGGAAUUUCCGGUGUAGCAGUGAAAUGCGUAGAGAUCGGAAGGAACAUCUGUGGCGAAGGCGACUAUCUGGGCCAUUACUGACACUGAGGCACGAAAGCGUGGGGAGCAAACAGGAUUAGAUACCCCUGUAGUCCCUGUCUCUUAUAC
Molecule: ribosomal RNA, 314 nt
Filed under: uncultured bacterium
Lineage: Bacteria
Description: partial 16S ribosomal RNA
Rfam family: Bacterial small subunit ribosomal RNA
Source: RNAcentral